Molecule: long non-coding RNA, 1119 nt
Organism: Poecilia latipinna (sailfin molly)
Lineage: Eukaryota; Metazoa; Chordata; Actinopteri; Cyprinodontiformes; Poeciliidae
Exons: 2
Source: RefSeq, a predicted model, not a curated record
CCUCUGACAAAGGGAACUAGAGAGAGAGAGAGAAGGGGGGGGGAGGUGUUGUGCAACAACAAGGUGGCGCCCAACGUGGGGCCACGCCCCUUGAGAAGAGGUGGGGCACCGUCCCUUGAGAAGAGGUGGGGCACCGCCCCUUGAGAAGAGGUGGGCCCAUGUCAAAUGAGUAGGAAGGACCUACAUUAACCAAGUCAGUAAAAACAGAGGCGAGUAUCUGAAUAGCUCACUUGGAGGCUAGCUCUUAGGAAAUAGAGUUAGUGGUGGCUGAUCCGGCUGUCAGUCACAACCCUUGCAGUAACUGUAUGGCAUGCAGGUGAGGGAGAGCUUCAGCUGAGGAUAAUCGCGAGUGUCCAGAAGUGAAGCCAGUAGCCAAUAGCCUAAACCCAUCCCUGCUUGAAGGCUAAAGAGAGGCUUUGGGGGAAAGGCGACUCGAAGACAAAGACAAUCAUGGAUGAAGGAAAAGAAGAAGAAGAAGGAUCAAAACUCCAGCAAACGUCAAAAGCAGAGCAGGAGAGAAGAUGAAGAAGAUCCCUGUCUAGAUCCCUGUUCCAGUCAGCCCCAGUGAGAGUGAUUCUGUGUGGAGAGGGAUUUGAGACAUGGACUCGAGUGAAUCAAAGGAAGGUUGUCUUUGCCAGAAUCGAGAAGUGGGACAGUUCUCCCAGGGGAAGGGAGACCCCAUGGAUAACAGAAAAGAGAGGUCAGGAGUACCUCUUGGUGCUGAUGGACAUGAUGUAACAGUGACAGCUGUAGAAGAGUAGGUCUUCCCCUGCAGAGAAACUCCGUUGCGUCACGGAAGGCAGGGAGGCGGAGGCACUUCUCCUUUUGGCCCAGGAAGGGAAAGGCGAAGUUGCAGCUUACAGUGUCAUUGAAAAGAGGGCAGAAAGUUUGGAUUAGAGCUCAAGAUCGGCCUGUAGUCACGGUGAUCAAGCUGAAAUUCAAUGGAAUGGAUUGUGUGAAGCAAGUACUGCACUGGAAAACAGUACUAUUAAUGAGGAAAGGGGUCCACAAGGUCAGUGCUCAAGCCAGUUCUUAGCUAAAGCGAACCAGAACAUUGCAAGAAUCAAGCAACAUGCCAUCAUGUGUUAGAUUUUCCACUAUUACAGGAUGAUUGCCAUU